GUGCCCCCGGCGCGGGACCUGGCUCACCUCCUUGUGCCGGCCUUUGAAGACCACGGCGAAGGCGCCGUGCCCCACCAGCUCCAUCAACAUGAUACGAGAGGGGCUUAACAGUUCACAAAUGGAGAUCUGAAGCUUUGCAGUGCGUUGUCAUUGAAGAAUCAAUGAGAAGGACAACAACGCUUUUCAAAGAAGUUGGGCACCCUUGGUUCUUCCACCGGAGCGCUCUGCUUCUGAAAUCGAAUCCUGAGAGACAGAGCAGAGGUCCUAAGGACACACUUAUGUAUUUAUUUUAUUUUAAAAAACAGGUUUUUUAAAGUAAGAUUUAACUUGUAAGGAAAAAAAAUAUCAGUCCUUGUGGAAAAAGGGAAGAGUUGCACUAAAACACAGUCAAAAGGAAGAAUAAAUUAAAGACAUUGAGAGUGGACAGAAUAUUGAAGAGGAGCGUGUAAAGCAAUUAGGUCCAAAGAAAAUGGCUUGUGCAGCAUUAGACUGUGUACAUAGAAAUGUCACAUCAGAGAGCAAGGUGGUCCUUGAGUUUCAUUUAUGGCACCUGAGCCACUUGAAUUCGUAAUUCUGUUCAGGGCUUGCCACCAGAAAAUGCAGAUGAUCUGGAAAGAAGUCAGGGAGAAGCAACAAAAAUGAUAUGGGGUGGCUUGAUUUACGAUUACAGCAGUAUGAAUAGCGGGCACUGUAUGUGUGAAUAUACACUCAUUCAAAAACUAAUUUAGAUUCAACCACGUUAAAACCGUUACAGGCCCACCUUCAACAAACAACCUAGACGUUGAGCUUUCCCAGCAUGAAUACCUGUGCAAAGACUGAACGUUGGACAAACUAAUAAGGAGUAAAUCAAACAGACAAAUAAGCAGAGGCUGGCAGAGCAUUAGUUAGCAGUGGGAAGACUACAUGUCUGGAUACUGUAAAUACCAAGGAGGAAAAGGAGUGAAUGUAUUAGGUAGAAAGGAAGUGUUAACUAGAAGUUAUGAGAUAAAAGGCUGAAUGUAACAGACAGCUUCCUGAAAACAAAAUUUGCUAGUCUUGUCCAUGGUAGGCAUCUGUGACCAGGUUAGAUUCUGAUCCUAAGUUACUACAAGGUGAAAACCAGACUUCAGUCACAUUACACUGGGUUUCAGUCAGGGUAGCCAUGCUCAGAAGAGUGCCUUUUACAUUUUCCAUGGAAAAUUUGAACCAGCAAUUUCACCCCUACCCCAGGAAACAUGUUAUUCUAAUGCUUACUACAGUGAGAUACGCUGUUUCUGCAGUAUUUGUUCAUGAGACCUGUGUACGUAACACUGCAGAAUUCCUGCAAAAUGCACUUAUCUUAAACACACCAGGCUCAAUCCUCCACCAGCUUUUGGCCCGUGUAGUGCCAGGAACCUCAGGAAAGCAGGAAACAAUUUCCCACAGUCAGGACACAUGUAACUGAAUCCAAACGUCCUUCCCCCGCAGUAUCUCACUUGAAACUUAGGAUAAACAGGACCCAGGAUCAGAGUAUUUGAAUCAUGGCUGUAGCAAUGCAAAUAACUGAUAAUUACCAGGUACUGAUUACUCUAAUAGCAGUGAAGGAGGUGUAAUCCAUAGUACUCUUUACAUACAAAAGAAAAGGACGUGCUUUCUGUGUGCUUCCACUGCACUGCCAUAAUAUGCUGUGGAUUUAUUUAUGUCGUUGGGCUCUUUAUUGAUUAAUGCUGUUGGGAGAUUUAACCAGCAAAUCAAUUACAGGGUGGACCCGAGAUGUACGAUUUCCCCCAUCUCCAUUGAGUAGAUUUAAACCCUAUGAAUUAUUGAAGGCAGCACUUUUAUGUACUCAGUGAGGUGUCCUGGCAAGGGGAUUCAGAAGUUCCUCUUGCAUUUUAAUGUCAGAUGCAUGCCAACUGCUGACGACCGGCUCCAGGCACUGUAGCCUUGCUUGGUGUUCAGAACAGUCAACGCUCGCAUCAAGGGCCAUUAACUAAAAUGCUUGUCACACUGCUGAUUAUAUUAAAAUGAGGUCUUACUGAUAAACAGGAGAGACGCUGCAAAGCAGUGAACUUUCUGGCUAAUUUGAGGCAAAAUGGUGCUGAAAUGAAUGCUAUUUCUCUUCACAUCACUGGGCAUCACUGUGGACUUUCCAAUGGGAGGCAAACACACCUGCCCUAUCAGAUCUUGAUAACGCACCUGUCCUUAAUAGCAGCCACCUGUCUUUGUUACAGGGAUGCUCAAAACUGCUGGCCAAUCAGCACAGUUUAGCCCUGUCCAUAGUAAGAGGUCAGGUUUUCUCCCCUCCCCUUUCCCCAAGCAAAGCUGCUGGGUAAAUGCAGGGGGACUGCAAGAGAUCCUGGGGCUGACACCUGUAUUUAAACCCGCUGAAGUCAAUGGGACACUUUCUGUUGAUUCCAGACAGCUUUGGAUCAAACUCUUGGUACAGAAAGUCCCAAUCCAGCUCUUCCUGUGACCUGUGUGUUUUUGAAGGGGUGGUUACGGGCUGCAUCCAGCUAAAAAUACAUGGCAGCCUCAUGGUAGGGUGACAACUUUCCAUAGGGACCAUCAUAUGCUAGACCUAAGAGGUCAUGAGGAGGGCUACUCACCCCACAGAUCAGGGCAGAACCAACCCUGUGGAGAGAAAUGGUGUGAUUCAUUCCCAGAGACUGUGUCUAAUGAUCAUUCCCUACCGCUGGCAGAUCACAGCCAAAAGCAGAUCCUCAGCCCACAGGACCGCUUUGCAGAAGAGUUUGGGUGGGCCAUGAAACCACAUCUCUUUCCUGCAGUUCCAGUGGCUGCUGAAAAGUGACCUUGAGACAGCCAAUGCCUCCAUAAAUGCUGCAGAAGCAUCCAGCUUUCCAUACCAAACUUAAAUGAAGAUCUGGACAAGUGGACAGCAUUCAGAGAAGAGCAACUAAAAGGAUGAGAUGCCCAGAAAGCAUGACAUUGAGGAACGAUUGUGAGAAAUGGGAUGAUGCAGUUUAGAGGAGAUGGAGGAGAGGUUCAGUAAGCAUCUGAAAAGCUGAGGCCUGCUCCUUUUUCAAAAAGAGGACUGUUAGAUACCUGAGACAGAUGUUUUAAGCAGAUAAGCCCAUUAGGAGCAUUAUGAAUGCAAUGCCUUUGCCCCUGGAAGGAGGCAGGGACAGCUGUGGCCACAGACAACUCUUGGUGCUUAGGAGCACAGUGACAGCUGGCUUUCUUUUCAGCUUUCAAGGUCAUCUACAUACUUAGCUGGCUGCAUGCUUUUCUCCCUUGUUUGCUUGAAAGGGCAGAGAGAGGUGUCAGGAAAUGCCAGCUAGUAAAACACAGGACUUCUCUCGUACCCUGGCCUAGUCACUCAGAGAUUUCUACACUUUGUCUCGUAUUUAUUUGAGGCAGGGAUCAAGACCAUCUUACACUCACUGGUGAGUGGUUACUCACCAAAGUCGCCUCGCCCCAUGUCAAUGGGAAUAAAGGUUCUGCCCUCAUGCGGAGUGGUGCCCUAACCCACCAGGCGAGACCUGUCAGACAUGAGCCUCCUUCCUUGUAGAGUUAAGGAAUUGUUAGAAGUAAUUCCCAGGUGUGCUUAAGCUGUUGGGAUGAUACUAAAGCCUCCCUCACCCUAAGCAUCAGUGGUCCCAGUUUGAUUUUCCUUCAUUGGGCUCCCACAGCCUUCCAUACUAAAAAUCAAAAGAAUCCGCAAUAUAUCCCAAGGGCCUAGUUUUAAGAAAUACUGAGCAUCUGAAGCUCAUCCUGAGAUGCUGUAGGUAGAUAUUCUUCUGCAAAAUGAGGUCCCCAAAUGACCUAAUCAUGGACCUGGGUCCCCAGCUCUUAUCCUUGCAGCUCUCCAGGAGAGGAUGCCUUAUAAAACUGUAAUAAAACACAAAGAUAUUUGCAGUAAAUCAUCCCCACCAUUGCCAUUCAGAGUAGUGGUUUUGCUGGGGAUGGGGCAACUAUUACAAAAUACAUCAGCUGCCUUCAGGGAGCCGCUAAGUCAGCUCUAUCCCCACUUUUCAUGCAAGCAAAUUUCUAAGAAGGGUGGAAAACAGUCAGCAUGGCGAAGAAGGCUGGCAAGAGGGGGGACAGCAUCAAGAAAGGGGUUAUUUAUUGUGGACAAGCUUUGUGAGGCUGAGCCCUCCUAGGCAGCAGAACAGCUUCCAUGGGUGGAAGCCCGAGAAUACAGUCUUACUGCAAGACAAUCUACUAGGAACAAAUAAAAUGUGCUCCCCAGUUCCCGUGGAGCAACUGCACAGGCCUUCCUGUUGUGACAAGCACGCUUCUCAAGCCAAAGAAAUGCUGCCAAAAAAUCUCCAUUGAGUCCAGUUUGAAUUUUUGAAUUAAUUCCCCUCUUUAUAUUCGUUGCCCCAUGAAUAGUCUAGCAAACAACGCCCUGGCACGCACGACACGCUGUAAAUAACUAGUGGAGAUUAGUCGCUGUAAAUUCAGGAUUGAAUUUAUUACUGGGAUUGUUUGCCCAGAGAAGAAAUUUGAGAAAGGCACUGGGUCCUGGGACUCAGGACAUCUGUGCCACAGACUCCCCAUGUUACCUUGGGCAGGUCACAUAAGGCCAGACUUUUUAAAGGUAUUAAAGGGCUUAACUUGCACUGA
Molecule: long non-coding RNA, 4545 nt
Organism: Alligator mississippiensis (American alligator)
Lineage: Eukaryota; Metazoa; Chordata; Crocodylia; Alligatoridae
Exons: 2
Source: RefSeq, a predicted model, not a curated record